This is a long non-coding RNA of Triticum aestivum (bread wheat), 348 nucleotides long. RefSeq lists it as uncharacterized. NCBI's taxonomy places the organism in Eukaryota, Viridiplantae, Streptophyta, Magnoliopsida, Poales, Poaceae. The transcript has 3 exons. The record is from RefSeq and is a predicted model, not a curated record.
CAGUGGAGAAGGCGGUACAUCAAAGAAAGUUUGUAUCUGAUUGAACAGCCUCUAUUGUUGAUGAAGUUGUGGAGAAGAGGAACUAUUGCAGGCUGGUCGCAGUUUCAGACAUCUGAAGAUACACAUUACUUGGAUGGCUAAAUUAGUAGGUGCUACACAAGCAACUAGGUGAUUCAAUUCAGCGAAGGCGUGGUCGUACCUCUGCACAGCGAACUCAAGCACCACUUCUAAUAUUGUUGGAAAGUGGAUAAGUCGUUUUGGAGCAUUACACGAUUUGUUCAGUCUACUUCGCUAUGUUCCUUACAUGCAAAAGUGUUGUUGCAGACUUGAAGGUAUAUGCAUCAGAAG